Molecule: ribosomal RNA, 301 nt
Filed under: uncultured bacterium
Lineage: Bacteria
Description: partial 16S ribosomal RNA
Rfam family: Bacterial small subunit ribosomal RNA
Source: RNAcentral
CAGCAGCCACGGUAAUACGUAGGGUGCAAGCGUUAAUCGGAAUUACUGGGCGUAAAGCGUGCGCAGGCGGUUUGUUAAGACAGAUGUGAAAUCCCCGGGCUUAACCUGGGAACUGCAUUUGUGACUGGCAAGCUAGAGUCUGGCAGAGGGGGGUGGAAUUCCGCGUGUAGCAGUGAAAUGCGUAGAUAUGCUGAGGAACACCGAUGGCGAAGGCAGCCCCCUGGGCCAACACUGACGCUCAUGCACGAAAGCGUGGGGAGCAAACAGGAUUAGAUACCCCCGUAGUCCCUGUCUCUUAUAC